RNAcentral lists this ribosomal RNA (249 nucleotides) under uncultured bacterium. Its description in RNAcentral is "partial 16S ribosomal RNA". It matches the Rfam family "Bacterial small subunit ribosomal RNA", at positions 355 to 595 of the family's 1533-position model. The record is from RNAcentral.
UAGGGAAUCUUCGGCAAUGGACGAAAGUCUGACCGAGCAACGCCGCGUGAGCGAAGAAGGUUUUCGGAUCGUAAAACUCUGUUGGUAGAGAAGAACGUUGGUGAGAGUGGAAAGCUCAUCAAGUGACGGUAACUACCCAGAAAGGGACGGCUAACUACGUGCCAGCAGCCGCGGUAAUACGUAGGUCCCGAGCGUUGUCCGGAUUUAUUGGGCGUAAAGCGAGCGCAGGUGGUUUAUUAAGUCUGGAUG